AUGAACGCUAGCUACAGGCUUAACACAUGCAAGUCGAGGGGCAGCGCAGUGUAGCAAUACAGUGGGCGGCGACCGGCGCACGGGUGCGUAACGCGUAUCCAACCUUCCCGUUACUCAGGGAUAGCCUUCCGAAAGGGAGAUUAAUACCUGAUGGUGUUCAAAUUCCGCAUGUUAUUUGAAACCAAAGCUUUANGUGCUGAGAGAUGGUCUCGCGUCUGAUUAGCUAGAUGGCGGGGUAACGGCCCACCAUGGCGACGAUGUCUAGGGGGUUCUGAGAGGAAGGUCCCCCCACACUGGUACUGAGACACGGACCAGACUCCUACGGGAGGCAGCAGUGAGGAAUAUUGGUCAAUGGACGCAAGUCUGAACCAGCCAUGCCGCGUGCAGGAUGACGGCUCUAUGAGUUGUAAACUGCUUUUGUACAAGGGUAAACCCUGGGACGUGUCCCAGGCUGAAAGUACUGUACGAAUAAGGAUCGGCUAACUCCGUG
This 490-nucleotide ribosomal RNA is filed under the name uncultured bacterium. RNAcentral describes it as "bacterial SSU rRNA". It matches the Rfam family "Bacterial small subunit ribosomal RNA", at positions 29 to 507 of the family's 1533-position model. The record is from RNAcentral.